CCGGAAGUCGCUAGUUACUCUCAAACUCAGCGCGCUGGAAAACUGCAGCUCCCUCUUUAGGCGCCCUUCGUCGCAAAGCCGAAAAUGGCGGACUCCUCAGUCACUGUGCGGACCAGGAAAUACAUGACCAACCGCCUGCUAUGCAGGAAACAAAUGGUGGUGGACAUCAUCCACCCGAACCGGGGCACCGUCUCCAAGACCGAAGUUCGGGAGAAGCUGAGCGCCAUGUACAACACCACCCCGGAUGUGGUGUUCUGCUUCGGCUUCAGGACCCAGUUCGGAGGUGGCAAGACCUCCGGCUUUGCCCUCAUCUACGACACACUGGACUUCGCCAAGAAGUUUGAGCCAAAGUACCGGCUGUGCAGGAACGGUCUUGGUGAGAAGGGGCGGACAGGUCGCAAGCAGCGCAAGGAACGCAAGAACAGGAUGAAGAAGGUUCGUGGCACGAAGAAGGCCAAGGUUGGAGCAGCAGCCGGCAAGAAGCGCUAAGCUGGGGUCGCUUGCUCUGCCUUCUUGCUGGCUUUCGCUGGUGUGGUGCUUCGAAAGUAACACCGGGGAAGGAUGGCUGUGACACAUGUACAUUUGGGUCAUCUUCAAUAAAUGUGGAGCACAACUCGA
Molecule: RNA transcript, 618 nt
Organism: Ixodes scapularis (black-legged tick)
Lineage: Eukaryota; Metazoa; Arthropoda; Arachnida; Ixodida; Ixodidae
Gene: RpS24
Gene name: 40S ribosomal protein S24
Exons: 6
Source: RefSeq, a predicted model, not a curated record